GAAUCUUGCGCAAUGGGCGAAAGCCUGACGCAGCGAUGCCGCGUGCGGGACGAAGGCCUUCGGGUUGUAAACCGCUUUCAGCAGGGACGAAAUUGACGGUACCUGCAGAAGAAGCCCCGGCCAACUACGUGCCAGCAGCCGCGGUAAUACGUAGGGGGCGAGCGUUGUCCGGAUUUAUUGGGCGUAAAGAGCUCGUAGGCGGUUCGGCAAGUCGGAUGUGAAAUCUCCACGCUCAACGUGGAGGGGCCAUUCGAUACUGCCGUGACUCGAGUCCGGUAGGGGAGUGUGGAAUUCCCGGUGUAGCGGUGAAAUGCGCAGAGAUCGGGAGGAACACCCGUAGCGAAGGCGGCACUCUGGGCCGGUACUGACGCUGAGGAGCGAAAGCGUGGGGAGCGAACAG
Molecule: ribosomal RNA, 400 nt
Filed under: uncultured bacterium
Lineage: Bacteria
Description: bacterial SSU rRNA
Rfam family: Bacterial small subunit ribosomal RNA
Source: RNAcentral